UACGGGGGGGGCAAGCGUUGUUCGGAUUUACUGGGCGUAAAGGGCUCGUAGGUGGCCAAUUAAGUCAGGCGUGAAAUCCCCAGGCUCAACUUGGGAACUGCGUCUGAUACUGGUUGGCUUGAAUUCGGGAGAGGGAUGCAGAAUUCCAGGUGUAGCGGUGAAAUGCGUAGAUAUCUGGAGGAAUACCGGUGGCGAAGGCGGCAUCCUGGACCGAGAUUGACACUGAUGAGCGAAAGCCAGGGGAGCAAACGGG
Molecule: ribosomal RNA, 253 nt
Filed under: uncultured bacterium
Lineage: Bacteria
Description: partial 16S ribosomal RNA
Rfam family: Bacterial small subunit ribosomal RNA
Source: RNAcentral